This 215-nucleotide unclassified non-coding RNA is filed under the name Mycena zephirus. RNAcentral's name for it is "partial internal transcribed spacer 2". Lineage: Eukaryota; Fungi; Basidiomycota; Agaricomycetes; Agaricales; Mycenaceae. The record is from RNAcentral.
AAUUAUCAACCUUGCUCGCUUUUACCGGCUUGAGUGAGGCUUGGAUGUGAGGGCUUUGCUGGCUUCCUUCAGUGGACGGUCUGCUCCCUUUAAAUGCAUUAGUGGGAUCUCUUGUGGACCGUCACUUGGUGUGAUAAUUAUCUAUGCCACUUGACUUUGAAGCAAACUUAUGGGAACCUGCUUAUAACCGUCUCUUCGGGGACAAUCUAUUGACA